Long non-coding RNA from Phasianus colchicus (ring-necked pheasant), 3619 nucleotides. The record is from Ensembl. NCBI's taxonomy places the organism in Eukaryota, Metazoa, Chordata, Aves, Galliformes, Phasianidae.
AUGUUCGCCUGGCACCGGAGCUUUCCCCUGGGAGCGCCCUGGAAGAGAGGUAAGAAGAGUCCACCUGCUGAGGACAAAGUAGUGCUAACACAUAUGAAGAUAUUGAGCAAUGAAGGAAUUCAGAACCCAGGGCUAGUACUGGAGGCUCCUGCUGAUGCAGGCUGUACUGAGGAGCCCCAUCUCCCCAGCACGAACUUCCCACAGGACUGCCAGGGAUGUCCAAAUGCCACAGCCAUAACAGCAGACACAGACUAUGCAGAAGCCCCAGCAGCCACAGAUUAUGUAGCCACACUGCCUGACCUCAGCAGCUUUGAGUCCAAGUGCCGCCUUCACAGAUUCUCCAAAUUUGAAUCUGAGGACUCGGGAGUUGAACUGCCAAGCGGGGCUAACUCUCCAUCAACGCCAACAGGUUCAGAGAAGAGCUUUGUGCUUCACAGCAGAGACUCAUUUUGUGACUCAGGUGUGCUUAGCACCUCAUCUUCUCCAGAAAUUGACCACCUGAUAAUGAGAGCAUGUAAAGAGCGUGCCAGGAAGGCUGGCCACCAAGGUGUGGAGAGUGAAAAGAAAGAUGAGCUCUAUAGCCAGGAGUCAGAUGUUGUGCAGGUUCCCACACCUUCCCUUGAAGACUUCAGUGUUCCUCAGGAAGGAGAAAGUCCUGAUGAACAUUUUGACCAGAGUGAAAGGCAAUCUCUGGAAAAAGAACCGUCCCCAGAGACGAACCCCCCCACAGAGAGCACUCUUCCCACCCCCGUUCCCAUAGAGGAGCCAAAAACAAUUGCUGACAAUUACACAGAGACCUUUGGCAGUACACAAGACCUUCAGCUCCAUGGACAUCAGCUGAAGAAGUAUCCCACAAGUGACAGUCUGGAUGAAUACAUGAAUGAAUGCUGUAGACUGAGCGAGGUGAACCAAGGGAACAGCAAAGCCCUGGGAUCUGGCCUGGGAUACCUGGAACACAUUUGCCAACUGAUAGAGAAGAUUGGGCAGCUGCAGGAGCACAACCUGCGGCUCCAAAAGCAAGUCUGCAGCUUACAGAAAGAGCAGAAGAUGAGCCAGAUAAAAGAGGAGUACCUCAUGCAGCAUUGCUCCUGUGGAGCUGCCAGCGUGUUCCUCAACUCGUACCAAGACAUGAAGACAUUUUUGGCAGGGAGGAGCAGACCUCAUAGCCUCUUGGUUCAGACUGGAAACUCUUCUGAUCUUUCAAUCAUCCCAGAAAUAGGAGCAAACACUGACAAGCUCAGCAACUACCGCGGAAGUGAGAGAUACCCAGAAUCAGGAAACAGCCAUCCAACAGCAGGGCUCAGGAAGUUGUCGAACAAUAGGAAUAAGGAAAAUGAGUUCAGAGAAGGUGGUGGCACGGCUGAAAGACAGGCUUUUCCACCAAAGGAUCCUGCAACCAGAAAGGGUUUGGACACCAGCAAGAACUGCUCAGGUGAGAGCCAUGCCUGGGGGAGAAUGAGAGAUCUUAUGAGAAAGACAAGGCUGAGAAACCAAAGCAAGCUGGGGCUGUCCUCUGCUGCACUGAAGAGGUCCUGCCCACAGUUGUACAGGCCAGAUAUUAUAUCUUCGGAGCUGAGGAAAGCAGAGAGAACUGAGAGGAACUCCAUGAUUGUUUUGGGGCAAAAUACAAAGAAUGAAAACAUAUGGCCUUUCUGAAAACCCACGUUAAAGGGGACAAGGAAGGAGAAGUGGGAACAGUGAUGGACACAAAAUGGAAGAGCCCAGGGGUGCUUUGUGCAGCUUUGCGCACCCAGCAUCCUCCAGCUGUUGGCAAAGCAACUCUGAUUUGAAUGUUGGAAGGCAAAGAAGGAAAGGGGAGGUGGAUAAAGGAGGUGGAUAAAGGUCUGUGGAUAGAUGCAUGCUCAGCUACCUAUGGCUUCGCUCCUGAACCUGCCGCAUACUCACAAGCCACAGAAGAAACUUGCAGCCAGCAUCUUGGCACCAUAACCAGGAGAGGCUUUUAAAUGAGACUUGAUAAUUAAUUCUUCCUCCUAUCUGUGCUAGGAACAGUACUACCUGAAUCACCAAAGCUUUUAAAUUAUCACUGCUUCCUGGGGACCUCUUACAGCUGAAAUGAACUUCAGCCUCACAGUGGCCAGAGGAGCACCAUAUCUAUUACUGGGUGCAGAGAUGGCCAUUGGCUGCACUGCUCCCUCAGGCCAGGGGCUGCAGGCUGCUUGCCCUCAGCACACUCCUCCCUUCCCAGCAGCACCUUGCCAGCUAUGCAGUUUUAAUCAAAUGCAACAGGAACAAAAGUCCGUAAAGCCAAGCUUUCCCUCAGGGCCAUUCACAAACCUACCACCAGCUGCACCUUCUGCAAACACUCCUUGAUUUCAGUGCCAUCAUAACACAGAAGUCAACAUGAUGAACGGCACUGCAAGAAUUGGUCAUUAUAGAGAUGGGAAGGUACAUCCAUGGCAGCAUCUCAGUUAUCCAGCAGCCCAGCUCUCUGCCAAGUAGUGCUGUCCAUCUUCCGGAAGAGCAGAGCUGCAAGGAUGUCACGCACACCCUCUAUGUUCUGCAUCUAGGACUGUUCUCUUAGACCUCCGUUUUGAGGGUUUUUUUUUUUUAAAUGCUAUAGCCAUGCUUGAUAGGUGCCUUACUGCCAUGUUUACACAGAGCUCAGAGAACUGACAGCAUCUGCUUCUGAAAGGUGCUGCAGCUGCCACAGUGAUCUCUGUUCUUUUGCUUGUAGGAGCUGGUGCAUUUAUACCUAUGGAGUAAAAAUUCGAGCAAGCCAACUUUAUCUCGUGUUACAGGGGCAUGCUACUCCCCUGAAUUACAAUAUAACUGUCAGUCAGGCACUUGCUAUUUAAAAUCCCUUCUGGUCUACCCUUGGGAACUGAGAUUUCAGAAGAUGACAGUAACACACUAACUUCAGCAGGUUUAGCCUUUCAGCAGCAGGUGCUUCCCCUUCACUCACUCAGAGCAGCUGGAGCCCUCCAAGGCAGAGCAAGAUCUCUUCUGAAAUUCUGAGCCCAGUUCUAGCAGCAACACAAAGCAAAGAGUUGUUGCUCACUAGAACAACAUAUCAUGUUUACUCAGUGCAAGUAUAAUUUGCAGGUGAAGUUCAGUGUAGCUGCUGUUAUUUAGCAUCUAAAAAAAAGAGUUUGUGCUGACUCACAGUUAGUACCCUGCUGUGUUUAAUAUUUCAGUUGUCACUAAUUACAGCUGCUGUUGUACGACUUGGUUAGUCACUGUAUAUCUUGCUAGCUUCAUCUAAAGCUAGAGAUAUUUAUGACUUGAUUAUUCUGUAAAUAGUCUGUUUAUCUCCAUAAAUCCCAGGGGCUAAAAAUCCUGCCUCAACUUGCACCCUCCACCUGUACAGACACUAUGAGGAAUAUGAAUCAGUGCAGAACUGGACUUGCAGGGUUUCAAGAGAGUCAUGAACUGGUGUUUUUCCAUCCCCUACUCUCCUCACAUUAUAGGUGUUAUAUGGUUUUUAAAAUUAAGAUGAACUAGCACUCUUUUAUUACUGCAUUAUAUGAAAUAUAUUCAUGUAUUUUCAAAACUAUAUUUAUAACCUGUAACAUACUGUAUAGUUUGCCACUUUAAGAUAUGCUUGUACUACAAUUUAAUAAGUUUAAUAAUAAAAUCACUUAUGAAAUAACUGGUUUCA